Mesocricetus auratus (golden hamster) is the source of this 416-nucleotide long non-coding RNA. RefSeq lists it as uncharacterized. The transcript has 3 exons. NCBI's taxonomy places the organism in Eukaryota, Metazoa, Chordata, Mammalia, Rodentia, Cricetidae. The record is from RefSeq and is a predicted model, not a curated record.
AACAAGCACCUCUAAGUGGACUCCCUGUUGGGUCUGGUCAAGGGCAUGACACUCAUCUCUUACUUUUGCACACGGCUCUCUCUGGAUCUAGUUAGAAGACUGGGACUUAGAGGUGCAUUCCAGUUGAUCGUGGGCCGUCUUCUACAGAGCACUUGACAGGGGCCUGUGGCAGCAGAUCUGGAUGGACAGGCAAUGAGACCACCACAGCUCGUUUGCAUCUAAACCCCACAGUCCUGGUGAAGGGACACCAAGAAUUCCCCGGUACAGUCCCUGUGAGUCACCAUGAGGUCCAGCUGGAUUGUCUCACCUUUCUGAAGCCUGAAUCCAAAAGACACCCCCACCCCCAGCUUUUUCUGUCUCUUUUGGGGGCUGGCCAGACCCUUAACUCUUUCUUUAAAGCCCCCCACUCCUCCCCU